This 1200-nucleotide ribosomal RNA is filed under the name Enterococcus faecalis. Its description in RNAcentral is "bacterial SSU rRNA". It matches the Rfam family "Bacterial small subunit ribosomal RNA", at positions 97 to 1283 of the family's 1533-position model. The record is from RNAcentral. Lineage: Bacteria; Bacillati; Bacillota; Bacilli; Lactobacillales; Enterococcaceae.
GGCGGACGGGUGAGUAACACGUGGGUAACCUACCCAUCAGAGGGGGAUAACACUUGGAAACAGGUGCUAAUACCGCAUAACAGUUUAUGCCGCAUGGCAUAAGAGUGAAAGGCGCUUUCGGGUGUCGCUGAUGGAUGGACCCGCGGUGCAUUAGCUAGUUGGUGAGGUAACGGCUCACCAAGGCCACGAUGCAUAGCCGACCUGAGAGGGUGAUCGGCCACACUGGGACUGAGACACGGCCCAGACUCCUACGGGAGGCAGCAGUAGGGAAUCUUCGGCAAUGGACGAAAGUCUGACCGAGCAACGCCGCGUGAGUGAAGAAGGUUUUCGGAUCGUAAAACUCUGUUGUUAGAGAAGAACAAGGACGUUAGUAACUGAACGUCCCCUGACGGUAUCUAACCAGAAAGCCACGGCUAACUACGUGCCAGCAGCCGCGGUAAUACGUAGGUGGCAAGCGUUGUCCGGAUUUAUUGGGCGUAAAGCGAGCGCAGGCGGUUUCUUAAGUCUGAUGUGAAAGCCCCCGGCUCAACCGGGGAGGGUCAUUGGAAACUGGGAGACUUGAGUGCAGAAGAGGAGAGUGGAAUUCCAUGUGUAGCGGUGAAAUGCGUAGAUAUAUGGAGGAACACCAGUGGCGAAGGCGGCUCUCUGGUCUGUAACUGACGCUGAGGCUCGAAAGCGUGGGGAGCAAACACGGAUUAGAUACCCUGGUAGUCCACGCCGUAAACGAUGAGUGCUAAGUGUUGGAGGGUUUCCGCCCUUCAGUGCUGCAGCAAACGCAUUAAGCACUCCGCCUGGGGAGUACGACCGCAAGGUUGAAACUCAAAGGAAUUGACGGGGGCCCGCACAAGCGGUGGAGCAUGUGGUUUAAUUCGAAGCAACGCGAAGAACCUUACCAGGUCUUGACAUCCUUUGACCACUCUAGAGAUAGAGCUUUCCCUUCGGGGACAAAAAGACAGGUGGUGCAUGGUUGUCGUCAGCUCGUGUCGUGAGAUGUUGGGUUAAGUCCCGCAACGAGCGCAACCCCCAUUGUUAGUUGCCAUCAUUUAGUUGGGCACUCUAGCGAGACUGCCGGUGACAAACCGGAGGAAGGGGGGGAGGAGGUCAAAUCAUCAUGCCCCCUAUGACCUGGGGUACACACGUGCUACAAUGGGAAGUACAACGAGUCGCUAGACCGCGAGGUCAUGCAAAUCUCUUAAAAAU